UAGAGGGUAGCAAUAUUCUCUAGUCGGAGUGGCGCAAGGGUGCGUAACACGUGGGUAAUCUGCCGUGAAGCUUGGGAUAACUCGCUGAAAGGCGAGCUAAUACCGGAUGUGAUGACUAGAUGGCAUCAGAUGGUCAUUAAAGCUGGGGACCGCAAGGCCUGGCACUUCACGAUGAGCCCGCGGCCUAUCAGCUAGUUGGUGAGGUAACGGCCCACCAAGGCUAAGACGGGUAGCUGGUCUGAGAGGACGACCAGCCACACUGGAACUGAGACACGGUCCAGACACCUACGGGUGGCAGCAGUCGAGAAUUUUUCACAAUGGGCGAAAGCCUGAUGGAGCGACGCCGCGUGGGGGAUGAAGGGCUUCGGCUCGUAAACCCCUGUCAUUUGCGAACAAACCUUUCCCGUUAAUACCGGGAGAGCUGAUGGUAGCGAAAGAGGAAGGGACGGCUAACUCUGUGCCAGCAGCCGCGGUAAUACAGAGGUCCCAAGCGUUGUUCGGAUUCACUGGGCGUAAAGGGUGCGUAGGUGGUGAGGUAAGUCGGAUGUGAAAUCUCUGAGCUCAACUCAGAAAUGGCAUUGGAAACUACCUUGCUUGAGGAUUGGAGGGGGGACUGGAAUUCACGGUGUAGCA
Molecule: ribosomal RNA, 633 nt
Filed under: uncultured Verrucomicrobiota bacterium
Lineage: Bacteria; Pseudomonadati; Verrucomicrobiota
Description: bacterial SSU rRNA
Rfam family: Bacterial small subunit ribosomal RNA
Source: RNAcentral